Molecule: ribosomal RNA, 395 nt
Filed under: uncultured bacterium
Lineage: Bacteria
Description: bacterial SSU rRNA
Rfam family: Bacterial small subunit ribosomal RNA
Source: RNAcentral
UAUCGGAACGUGCCCGGUCGUGGGGGAUAACGUAGCGAAAGCUACGCUAAUACCGCAUACGAUCUAUGGAUGAAAGCGGGGGAUCGCAAGACCUCGCGCGAUUGGAGCGGCCGAUAUCAGAUUAGGUAGUUGGUGAGGUAAAGGCUCACCAAGCCGACGAUCUGUAGCUGGUCUGAGAGGACGACCAGCCACACUGGGACUGAGACACGGCCCAGACUCCUACGGGAGGCAGCAGUGGGGAAUUUUGGACAAUGGGCGCAAGCCUGAUCCAGCAAUGCCGCGUGCAGGAUGAAGGCCUUCGGGUUGUAAACUGCUUUUGUACGGAACGAAACGGUGAGCUCUAAUACAGUUUGCUAAUGACGGUACCGUAAGAAUAAGCACCGGCUAACUACGUG